GAGUUGUUCUGUGUAUUGGGUGGAGGAGGGUGAAUCCGAGAGGAGGGAGGAGGGUGAAUCCGAGAGGAGGAAGGAGGAUGAAGAGCCUAGCCUGCGCCCCACCUCUGAUUGUGCCGGGAAAAAGUGUCCGAACGCCUCGUGGACUGCAGCGGGGGAAAUGUCCCUUAAAAGUGCGACGAAGUGGGGAAGAAGGUGUAAUUACUAUUAUCAGCAUCUAGAAAGCAUCAUGAAUUUGCUGGAGUACUUCCUAGCACUGACCUCCUUCAUUCUGCGUUGUUCUUACUGGAUCUUUCCAUCAGCCAACAAUAUGGAAGUACCAAUACAAGGUCAAAUCAUUCCUGGAUUCAUCUGGAGUUGCUUAAAAGUUAAAUCAUUGGAAUUUUUGAUGAUACCUUUUCUAUAUGGAUUACAAUUUGAUCGCUGGGAAUUCUCCACCUUAAAGAAGACUCUUUUGCUAUCUGGAAACCCAUGUCCACCUCUGACUUCCACUCAAAAUUGCUUUCCUCACAGUCUGACUGCGAGAGUUGUGAAAAAUUGGGAUGUGCUUCUGAGGUGGGCUGUGGAAUGCCAUGUGUGAAUCAUGGCAAUACAGUGAAAGACAGUGAUUUACUGCUUUUGAGGGCGUGCAUGUAUAUGAUUAACGGAUGGAAGUGCAGGACUCCAAGAUUUACU
RNAcentral lists this long non-coding RNA (672 nucleotides) under Homo sapiens (human). Its description in RNAcentral is "non-protein coding CASC15:40". The record is from RNAcentral. Lineage: Eukaryota; Metazoa; Chordata; Mammalia; Primates; Hominidae.